UUAGAUGAGUUGACUAAAAGGAGACGAGAUGUAAAUGGAGGCCUAGAUAGAAAUCUUGAGGAUGAUGAUGAGUUGACUAAAAAAAUCAAAAUGUAAUAUUUAUUUACACGGACAUGAACAAUGAAAAUGUUGGAAUGAUCUGUAGCAAAUUUGUUGAGCAUCUCUAGA
Non-coding RNA from Arachis ipaensis, 168 nucleotides. The record is from RefSeq and is a predicted model, not a curated record. Lineage: Eukaryota; Viridiplantae; Streptophyta; Magnoliopsida; Fabales; Fabaceae.